Molecule: non-coding RNA, 158 nt
Organism: Plasmodium billcollinsi
Lineage: Eukaryota; Apicomplexa; Aconoidasida; Haemosporida; Plasmodiidae
Source: the annotation of a GenBank genome assembly
GCAAUCUAUUCACUUACUAUUUAACCGUAUCAUUAAGGAAUUAGUAAACUAAACGAUUGCUAUAAUAAUUAUGACAAUUUUGUUUAAUUAUUAAAAUUAUUUUAUUUUAUUGAUUAAUUUUAAUAAAAGAUGAAAUUGUGUACAAAUAUUAAAUUUAA